This is a long non-coding RNA of Syngnathus typhle (broad-nosed pipefish), 1150 nucleotides long. RefSeq lists it as uncharacterized. Lineage: Eukaryota; Metazoa; Chordata; Actinopteri; Syngnathiformes; Syngnathidae. The record is from RefSeq and is a predicted model, not a curated record. The transcript has 2 exons.
CGGCAAGGCUGACCAAUCGGGCGACGGGAUCACAGUCGCGUGUGCGCACGCGUGACGUAUUUGUGCGCACUUUGUGGGCGUCUCGUACAACGCUCACGUUGUAACUACAGUUGCAUUUGCAUACUCUUGCAAACGUGCACACAUUUGAAAUGAUCUUUUUGAAGGCGGUGCAGUGUAAAGUAAUAUAGGAGAUUAUGUCUAUGCAAGCGUGGGUCACACCCAAAAAGUAUAAUCGGUGAAUUAAUCACUUUACGUGUCACUAACAAGGUCUGCAUGAUUGCAUUUAAUUGUUACAGUAAUGAACUGGUUGAUUACAUCAAACACAUUUUAAAGGAGGCUGCAAGAGGACUCUCCAAAACUGGCACACUAGGGGGAGCCAUUCUGUUUGAAAUUCAAAUAGCUUUGCCUCACAGCCCAGCAGCACCAGUUGCAAAGGAGCGAGUGAAAUUCCCACAGAUAGGUUUCUGUGAUGCAUUAUUUAAUUUCACUAUGCUCACUGGUUAAUAAACAGGCACUGCAACCAGGCUGGAUUGCAAAAGUAGGAUUUAUGCGUGCCGUCUUAAGAAAGUGCGGGCUGUUUAUCUGAAGUUUUAGGAAGUGAAGGAGAUGUGAGUGGAUAAUCACCUGCCACAAGAAAGAGGCAACACAGAGAAGCCCAGCGUGUCGGCCGCUCGGCAUGCCGUGCACGUCGCAUGGGUGGGCACGGGCCCCGACCAACUUGAUGCCAAAGGAAUACUGAUGAUGGCACCGAGGUAGCGGAGUGAGAUGGCGGCGUGAGGCGAUUUGGCCGACAGCCCACGAUAGAUGGAAAAAAAGGGUGACGGAGGGCCUUGUCAGCAAAACGCCCUUUCUCCUGAUUGGCGACAUGGAUUUUAAUUGAUGAAAGCAAGCCGAGGGAGUCGAGCGGCGGGGGAGCGAGGGAGAAAGAAAGGUCGGUCAAAAAGUCCCGACUCGCUCUACCUUUUCAUGUCUGACUUCAAACCUCAUCACACUCUUGUUUUUUUUUUAAUAGAGACGCUAUUUGCCCGCGCGGCUUUCCAAAUUGUACGCUCGUCAAUUUCUCGUCGGAAAAUCUGCAUCGAGUGCUUUUUUUCGGGCUUAUCUGGAGCUUGUGAAAAAUCCAUUAAGCCACCUUUGAGGUGCGCCCCCC